RNA transcript from Morus notabilis, 2483 nucleotides. RefSeq lists it as uncharacterized. The record is from RefSeq and is a predicted model, not a curated record. The transcript is spliced from 3 exons. Lineage: Eukaryota; Viridiplantae; Streptophyta; Magnoliopsida; Rosales; Moraceae.
AAGAAACCCUAAACGAAGAAACGCCCAAGUUUCGAUUUAGUCGAAUCGACCCACAAAUAGCUUCUGCCGUUUCAGUGCUCAGAGUUGAAAUAUGCCACCGGAAUCUGACAAGUGGGGUUGGAAGCAUGUCAGUGUGUUUGGGGGGUUUGACAAGGGGAGUGGUACCAAAAGGUGGAAAUGCAAUCACUGUAAUCUCCGAUAUAAUGGAUCCUAUUCACGUGUUAGAGCCCACUUACUUGGGUUCUCGGGUGUCGGGGUCAAAAGCUGUCCAGCAAUUGACGGGUCUCUAAGAGAGGCAUUUCAGGUUUUAGAGGAAGAGCGACUUGCUGGGAAGAAGAAGAGAAUUUCUGGAGGUGAGAAGCCCAGAAAGCGCAUUAGGACAUCACGACCAAUUCUUGCUCUUACCUGUGUCUCCAAGGAAGAUGUAGAUGAUAUAGUAGCUAGAUUCUUUUAUGCCAAUGGACUAAAUGUCAACAUCGUCAAUUCUCCUCACUUUCAUGAAAUGACCAAAGCAAUUGCAUUUUAUGGGCACAGGUAUGAGCCUCCGUCGAUAGAUGAGCUAUCCAAUUCCUUUUUAAGUAAAGAAAAAGGAAGGAUUGAGAAAUCUGUGGCUCUAGUUAGGGAGUCUUGGCCUCAUACAGGAUGCACUAUACUAUGUGUCGGUCGCUUAGAAAGCACGGUUGGCUGUUUGCACAUUAAUAUAUUUGUUUCUAGUCCAAGAGGUCUUGUUUUUCUGAAAGCAGUGGAUGUAGAUGACAUUGAUGGGGCAGACAAUCUCUUUGUGGGUGUUCUUGGUGAUGUGAUUAUGGAAGUUGGGUCCACAAAUGUGCUUCAAAUAAUCUCACGACUAGAGCAUGCUAAUCAAUUGUCAGAUUCUUUUAUAUUGACAAAGUUUCCUCAUAUAUUUUUGUCUCCCUGCACUUCGUACUCUAUCCUCACGUUGAUGGAAGAAAUAGCUGAAUUGGAUUGGGUAAAAUCUGUUGUUCUAUGCGCCAAAGAAAUCGAACAAUGCCUGAUCACAUAUCAACACUCUUCUCCAUGCAUAUUUUCUCAAAAUCCAAAAAGGAGCUGUGACGCGCUUGCUUCCAGAUUUGCACCUUUCUUUUCUGUUGUCCAAAAGAUUCUUGAGCUAAAGCAACAACUUCUAGAGUUAAUUGUUAGUGAGGAGUGGAAACAGUGGAAACUAAAUAAUGCCCAAGAGGAUAUUAUAAAUAUCGAAGCUUCCAUUUUAGAGGAUAGUUUCUGGAGAAACGCUAAUUUGUUGGUGCAGUUACUUGAGCCAUUUGUCAGAUUGCUAGAGACACUUAAUGUUGACAGAUUUGUCAUGGGUGAUAUUUGUAAUUGGCGGGUUCAGGCUCUGGAAGCUGUGAGGGAUAAGGGAGUCGAUAGCGUCAGAUUGAAUCAAUUGGAAGAACUCAUAGAGAACAGAUGGGAUGCUUUAUUUUCUCCACUUCAUGCUGCUGGUUACAUGUUGAAUCCAAGAUAUUUUGGGAAAGGUCAAGCUAAGGAUAAAAUUGUAAUGCGGGGCUGGAAGGCUACCCUGGAGAGAUACGAGAGUGAAAGUGCGACCAGGCGAGUUCUUAGAGAGCAACUCAGCUCUUACUGGCGAUUAGAGGGAUCCUUAGGAGAUGAGGAUGCAGUGGAUUGUAGAGAUAAAAUGGACCCAGUUGCAUGGUGGGAGAACUUUGGUUUCGAAACACCCCACUUGCAGACACUAGCAAUAAAAGUUUUGAGUCAGGUUUCAAGCGUUACGAUGUGUCAAGAGAUCUGUCAAGAUAAUUGUUUUCCAUACCGAGAAACAGCCAACAGAUUAGGAGUAGAGAGAGUAGAAGAUCUUGUUUUUGUCCAAAAGAAUCUCAGAAUUCAUAUUCAAAGAAGUGGGUUUUCAUACUUCACAUCUGGAUCUAGAAAUGUGAAUUCAUGCUCUCAGUCUGGAGUCAAGGCCUUGGAUUGUGCUCAUGUUGAUCAAGCUAAGGCCAUGUGAAGCAUUCAUAGAAAAUUAUGACGAAAUUGAUGGUUGGGAGUCAGAAUGCAAUAUUACUACACAAGCUUGUUGAAAAUAACUGAGAGUGAAAUUUGAAAAUUACCAAUAUCAUAGGCAAUCAUUGUGCAACUUCAGAGCCUAAUGUUGACCUGGUUUCAUCAAUUGCAUUUCCUAUGGUUUCCCUCGCUAAGUGGCGUUGCUGCAAUUGCAGCCUGAUGCGAUAGGAGGAGCACAAGGGCAAGCGGCGCAACCUUCAAGAGAUCCAUUGAGUCUACCAAGUGGUCCGGUGAUAAGGCUUAAAGUCAAACGCUUCAAGAAAGCAUUGAACGGGCUGGUCAACAAGUUGGAGAUACGGCAAAUACAUGGAGGCCCAACACAAGUCCAAAUCCGGAUGAAGAAGAACCUAGUCACCUCAAAUUGGCCGAAUUGGGCCUAGGGGAAUAUUUGUGGCCGAAUUGGCCUUGGGAUUGUAUAGGGUCCGAAUUAGACUUGAACUAGA